UAUCGAUCAGAUGUUGACAUGUGU
Molecule: non-coding RNA, 24 nt
Filed under: Arabidopsis thaliana (thale cress)
Lineage: Eukaryota; Viridiplantae; Streptophyta; Magnoliopsida; Brassicales; Brassicaceae
Source: RNAcentral